Molecule: small nucleolar RNA, 107 nt
Filed under: Eutrema salsugineum
Lineage: Eukaryota; Viridiplantae; Streptophyta; Magnoliopsida; Brassicales; Brassicaceae
Description: Plant small nucleolar RNA R71
Rfam family: Plant small nucleolar RNA R71
About the family: R71 is a member of the C/D box family of snoRNAs containing the C (UGAUGA) and D (CUGA) box motifs. Multiple nearly identical copies of this snoRNA have been identified in Arabidopsis, and it is thought to function as a 2'-O-ribose methylation guide for 18S ribosomal RNA.
Source: Rfam by way of RNAcentral
AACCCAUGGUGAGGGCACUCUCUUCGGUACUCCUUGUACCUCUCCCAAGCUUCGCAGAAAGCUUCGCCAGGUUGCUGUUUAAACGACGAGAUCUUGUUCUUCAGAGC